GACAUAGGUUGCGAACGUUAUCCGGAAUUAUUGGGCGUAAGGGAUGCGUAGCUGGCUUGAUAAGUUAUCAUUGGCAAAUCGGGGCUUAACCUCGUGGAAGCUGGUAAUACUGUCAUGCUCGAGUACAGGAGAGGUUAACGGAACUCUAUGUGGAGCGGUAAAAUGUGACGAUAUAUAGAAGAACACCAACAGGCGAAAGCAGUUAACUAUUCUGUUACUGACAUUGAGGCAUGAAAGCGUGGGGAGCAAAACGG
Molecule: ribosomal RNA, 254 nt
Filed under: uncultured bacterium
Lineage: Bacteria
Description: partial 16S ribosomal RNA
Rfam family: Bacterial small subunit ribosomal RNA
Source: RNAcentral